UGGCCCAUCGUGUAGAGGAGCCCUGGUGUGAGAGAAGUGACGUACUGGUAGGAAUAUUACUCUAAAGCCAUAAAAGGUUCUGACAAGACUCUGCGCUUAAAAUAUUUUAGAGAAUAUUUACGUACGUUCCUUCUAAAGUACACGCGAGUCGCGUGAAAAUGAUUGAUCAUCAUCAUCAUCUCAGCCAUAAGACGUCCACUGCUGAACAUAGGCCUCCCCCUUAUGGGGGGUGAAUGCCAUAAUCGCCACGCUUGGCAGGCGGGUUGGCGAUCGCAGUCGAGUACACCGAGUUUGAGGGACGCUGCUGCCCGUCCACCGGUGGUCUUGGACCACUCUUAAGGACAUACCCGCCACCCGGGUCCCAAUGAUGUCCCGGGUCAAAAUGAUUGGGGAGUGUUAUCAAUUUUAGAGUUUAAAAAAAAAGGUCAAUAUGGAAAUACAUCGUGUACAUAUAGUUCAGCUGUGGAAGGUUGUCAGCGAAGAUAAUGCAUCUUAAAAACUGGUGUAAAAUGUAUGAGUAUUCUCUAGAAAAUGAACUAGAAAGUGUUUCUACAGAAGACUCGAGUCCUACGAGUAUCAGAUUUAAUUGGUAAAAGAAGUAAACCAUACGAUUGGAGUCAAUAAGUCCGUAUAUCGAGUUGUUUAAGUCCAGUCUCAAGGACUCAAGGCUCGAAGCGUUUUACCAACUCUAUUAUUUCUGUCUACAACCAUAGAGUAAUAUAAGUAAAGAAAGAAUCGCGCGUUAUUCGUCAAGUAGUGGAACUAUCAGUACCGCUACUUGACACCAGAUGGCACAAGUGACGCUACUGACAAAAAAUGUACUGCAAAAACAAUUUACAACUGAUAUUAGAAGCCGAAGGAUUUGAAAAUAGAGUUUUGAGUAAUCCGGUUAUAAAUGAUGACAAUUAGGGCCAGUUGCACCAACCACAUUUGACAGACUGAUCAACGUCAGCCGGCGCGCCCCGGCGCCUUACUAUGAAACUUUCCAUACAUAAAAGUUUAGCGAACUCUUUAACGAUACGAACAGUUUGGUGCAACCGACCCUUAGAGUUUUUGUUAGCAGUAUAUUCCGCUAUUUGACGCUAGAUGUCGACUACGAAAUAAUGCGCGUUUUGAUAAGAAAUCUGAUGUAUGGAGUUACCACUCUUUAUUUAGGUACUUAUAGUACUCUAUGCUAUAACUAAGAUUACGUUGAGUAAUAGGUACUUCGUUACAUGAUCCAAUCAAAGUGUAUUAAUCAAUACCAAGCUUGUUAAGAUUGGUAUUUGAUUGGCAAUUAACGACGUUCACUGUUUAUCGAAAUUACUCUGGCUUUCCUGUGGUUACAUUUACACCUGCGCAUGCAGUUAUCAGUGUUUGCGUGAUAAUGACACUAUUUUUCUGUCGUGCAGCGUCGUUAUAAAAAAAUAACCGCAUGCAUCAUACAGUAUUCUAAGUGUAAAGAAAGAUCACCAAGAGAUUGUAUUUCUCUGCGAUGCUUAAAGGGGCCCACUGAUGAACUGUCCGCCGGACGGUAUCGGCCUCUCAGAACAAAAUUUGGACAGUUGCGAACAACUGACAGUACAGGCCGAUACCGUCCGGCGGACUGUUAAUCAGUGGGCCCCUUAACGGAACGAUCAUAAUAUGCCAACAGCAUUAUUUAUAUACAUUUAUCUUACAUAGAAAACUGUUCUGUAUUGGAAUAUUUGUAAAAAUAUUUUCUUCUCUUCUUCUAUACACAUUUUCAAAAUCGCUUUUAAUACAAUUCGCUACACAGCAACCGUCUUGAAGCCUUUGUUUUUGGUUUCCACAGUUUUAGCAAAACUAUUAGAGUCCCCCAGAGUAAAACUGUCCGAAGUGUCUUCUUGAAUCUUAUCUCUCUCUGAACACUCCUUGUAAUUGUAUCUGUUAUUCGAUAUGGUUUAAGUAUUACAAUAUGUAAUACAAUAAAUAAUCAUAAUUAUAUUAUUUAAUUGUAAACUUAACCCAAUAUUCGUAGCAAACUUGUUUAACUAUGUGAAAUUUAUACACUUAAGAACCACUACCACCAGUUUUGACAUUGACAGAUACGCUCGCGUCUAAGUAACUUACUUUCUAUGCAUCUCGCUCGUACUCGUAUAUUAGUGCAAGCGAGAUGUAUAGAAAGUAAUUUACGUAGACGCGAGCGUAUCCGUCAAUGUGAAAACUGGUGGUAGCCGUAAAGAACAUUUUUUACACAUCAUAUAGCCGUAGAUAUGGAUUCAUUAUUAAGGCCGAGCCACGCCGGCUUACGUGUGCGUGACGUGCGCUAAAAUGUUGGAGCCGCACACGCACACGUCACGCAAGCGGUGUGUCAUCUCUCAUAAGGAUCUGUAUACUACAACGCCGCACGCGCACGUGCACGUCACGCACACGCAGCCGGUGUGCACAGGUCUUAAGUGUCAUUGUUUCAAAAAUAUGUCACCAUACAAACAUAUUUUUGAGUCACACAAUAUUAUUUUUACCUAUUCCUAUUUUUACCAGCUAAUUUAUCCGUUUCACAAAUAACUAUUAAAAUGUAUGUUUGAGCUUAUUUCCUUUAGAUCCUAUAGACCUCCGUUAGCUUAAAUGUUAUGAUAUUAAAAUAUCCAUGUUAAUUUCAUUUGCUUGGACAUUACUAACGGAGUCCUAAAGGCUUUAGAACUUUAAGCUAGGCUUUAGAAUAUAACACUGUCUUAUGACUAGUAUAAGAUUAGUAUAGGAUAAAGGCAGGGACACACUUAUCCCACGUACGCAACGUAUGCAAUGCAUUAUGACAAUCUGAACCCUGAAAAUUGUAUGCUUGGAAACAUACUUGUCAUGCGUUGCGUUGCGUAUGACAAGUAUGUUUCUAAGCAUACACAUUUCAGGGUUCAGAUGUCAUAAUGCAUUGCUUACGUUGCGUACGUGGGAUAAGUGUGUCCCGAGCUUUAUAAUGAUGACCAGCACAUUCUUAUUAUUAAUAUUAAUUUUGUAAUGUUUCACAACAAAGCUUGCUACUUUAGAACAAGAUUUUAAUACUAUGUAUGUUUUCAAAAAUGUCGCACCGUGUAUUUUACGUUUUGGAAUAGUAUGAACAUUCGAGAGUUUUCUUUUAGCCCUAUUUUAUAAAAUAUCAAUGUUUUAGCUUUAAUUUUUACAUUCCCCAGUUUCAUAUUCUAAAUGUACUGUGUUCCAAAUAUACUAAUGGACUAAUUUAGAGGGACGUAAAUAAAAGGGUUUAAUUAAGCACUGGAUUACAUAAACCUAAAGUAAUUUCAAAACUAGUAAUUAAACUCUUCUUUUUUUCGUUCCUUUUAAUUUGGCCACGAGUGUACAAACUCCAUGACGGGUCAAUUAUUUUUUAGUGUUAGUUGCAAGUAUUUAAAUAUUAAUAUAGUUAGGCGAAAAUGUAUUUUUAACUGGCGAUAAAUUAACCAAUAUUAGUUCAAUAAAGGAGUAGAUAAAUAGAACUGUUUUACUCAUUACUGAAAUCCUUUAUGUUAUGAGUAAUACGUACGCUCUGUUACUUAGGGCACACUGAAAAUUCCUGGACUGGCCACUUAGAAAAAACCGGGCAAGUGCGAGUCGGACUCGCGCACGAAGGGUUCCGUACCAUAAUUAAAAAAAAAACAAAAAAAAAACGGUCACCCAUCCAAGUACUGACCACUCCCGACGUUGCUUAACUUUGGUCAAAAAUCACGUUUGUUGUAUGGGAGCCCCAUUUAAAUCUUUAUUUUAUUCUGUUUUUAGUAUUUGUUGUUAUAGCGCGGCAACAGAAAUACAUCAUCUGUGAAAAUUUCAACUGUCUAGCUAUCACGGUUCGUGAGAUACAGCCUGGUGACAGACGGACGGACGGACGGACGGACGGACGGACAGUGAAGUCUUAGUAAUAGGGUCCCGUUUUACCCUUUGGGUACGGAACCCUAAAAAUAAGUCGUCUCCAGAAAAUCAGAAUAUCAGAGAGGAAUAUCAGAAUCCAGAAAAUUUCAGUAUGACCCACGUAUAUCCCAGAUAUUCAAUUGGUCCAUUAUAACUCUUAAUCCGUCCUUGACUGUCCGCGGAUAUCAGGUGACCCAGAUUUUAUAAAAAGGAGUCCGUUUAGGGGAAUUAAUAACGCAAUACCUUUACAAAUUAAAUUUUCUGUGACCGAAUGAAAGAAAAAUGUUGGAGUAACCUUUAUAAGUCAAAUAAUAUUUUGUAGGUAAGUUUUCGGCUAAUUGGAAAAGUUUUUUUUUGCUAUACUUACUUACUUGAAUCUGUAUUUUUACUUUGAAUGUCGAAAUCGAGAAUUUGUCUCUAAUAAUCUCAUCUGAAUUCUUAACAUAUAUGUAAUAAGUAAAUUAUAUCUGUCUGAAUGUACCUAAGAAGAUAAAUUAGGGCGGAAGAGAAAAAUCGAUAAAAAAUCACGUAAAGUACUGGCACCAGUGACCGAGAAGAACCAGUAGGUAACUGACAGUAUUUUUAAGGAGUAUCUAACAAAAUAAGAGUAUGUAGCUUGUUUCUUGCUGCUGGUUCCUGUCAGCCACUGGUGUUACCUUAUUAAGUCUACUUUCUGUUCAUAUGAUGCAACAUUUGGACCAUCAAAUCCAUAGUAAAGUACUGGGUCUCAGAUGUUUAGUGUCAAGUGUAAAAGUAUGGGCGUAGACAACUUACUCAAAAAUAUGUCCCAUGGUUCCUAAUUCGCUCACACAAGAGCUAUAACGGUACAUAUUUUUGAGAUGUUUUGGGCACCCAUAUUUUUAUAAGUACUUGUAUGUACCAAACUACACAGUGACUUGCGGUAGUGACGAAAUAUAUAUAAUACGUUUGUUUCUGUAUUUCAACCGUGGUAGUAAUAAAAAAUGCAGCCGAUAUACAAUCCCAACAAAGUUGUGCCAAACGCGACCGCUCCUCAAUAUAACCGUUCAAGUUUUUUAAUAUCUCAUCCAUUUCUGCGGUAGGUCACGCUCUUAUGAGCUUCUAACGAAAGUUCCAUUUACAAUAUUCCAUCGGCAAACGGUAUUCCAAGUUUACAAUACCAGUUUAAAUUUAAAAUGGCUUAUGUAUCUUGUAACCGCAGCGCGCUUACAUCAUUGUGGUUUUGUUUAAGUACUAGAUGAGCCCGUUUGAUUUACUAAUGCAUUUGGGUGCAUCAAUGGGAUUUAUUUGCAAUACCUAUAUCGAUUGAACCACUUUAGUAAUGUUUAUGGCGCUUUUGUGGGAUGCCCUUGCGUGUAUGACUUGACCAUUAGCAAGAUUAUAUUCGGAGCUGCGAAUUUCCUUUGUCUUCGCCCAAAGGAAACAUUGUCAUUCUCGGGACUAAGGUAAGGUACAUAUUAAACGAAGCAACUUGAAUUUUGAAUUUUGUAUUCCGUCUACUUUUAAGCGCCCCGUCUGACCAACAUUAAUAGGUGGUGGGUCGUGGUUUUUUGUGUAAGUAGUUUGUAAUUGACUAAUUUUGUUUAUUGAGAAUUUAAAUACAUAUUAAACAUAUUAAUGAGAUUCA
Molecule: long non-coding RNA, 5443 nt
Organism: Cydia fagiglandana
Lineage: Eukaryota; Metazoa; Arthropoda; Insecta; Lepidoptera; Tortricidae
Exons: 2
Source: RefSeq, a predicted model, not a curated record